GGGCGGGUUGUAGCAGGGUGAAGGGGCGUCGGAGGUAGGGGAGGGGCGGCUUGGUGGAGCUGGGCAGAGCUGCUGCUGGCCCUCUGUCCUUCAGGCGGAGGAGUUGGCACUUGUCGGCACAGUGUUACCUGUGUCUGGUUUCCUUUGCGGCAGCUGGUGGAGAAGGAAGAAGAGGAGCGGUGCGGAACUGCGAGUCAAGAGUGAGCCGGAAGAGCAACGGAGGAGGGCGGGAAGCCUGAAGAGGAGGAAAGAGAAGGGCACUCUGGGCAAAGGGACGCCCCUGUAAGCAGGGCUGCGGUCCAGGAGAAGAGCAGGCGUGGCCCCUUUGGUGGCCUCGCUCGCUUGGCGCUGGGCGACCUCCCUGUAAGCAGGGAGCAACGGAGGAGGGCGGGAAGCCUGAAGAGGAGGAAAGAGAAGGGCACUCUGGGCAAAGGGACGCCCCUGUAAGCAGGGCUGCGGUCCAGGAGAAGAGCAGGCGUGGCCCCUUUGGUGGCCUCGCUCGCUUGGCGACCUCCCUGUAAGCAGGGCUCGGGUCUUUGCUUUGUUGGCCUUUUGCCACGGUGCUCCUUUGGCUGCCCGGAGAGAGCGGCGACCCUGUAAGGAGGGUGCGAGUCGCUGUCUCCGCACCUGAGGGGGCCACGGAGCUCACUGGACCCCAGGCCCACCCUGUAAGCAGGGCAGGGCCCUUUUCCCCCGGUGGCCAGGCUGCGGUCCAUGAGAUGUUCUGGCAGUGUCAGAAUACGUCCUCUAAAGUAAAAGAAAAAAUAUUUCUGUAAUACUAUUUGUUAGGUUUUUGUAAAUCAUUCACAUUUUUAGCUAAGGAGGUACCCCUUCUGAAUUUCCUUUUGAAAUAUAGUUCUUGUACCGUUGUUUUACCGUCUAUUAGGAGACCUCAUCGCUCACAACCUGCGUAGUAAGAGUUUUCCAUUCGUCUUAACUGGACUUUACAGCUGCUUUCAGGCUUGGGAACAGUACUCAGGGCUGGGAUUUUGAGUUUAUUUGCUUUGUUCUAAAUCCGGGGUUUUUUUUCAGCAUC
RNAcentral lists this long non-coding RNA (1036 nucleotides) under Struthio camelus australis. RNAcentral describes it as "lncRNA (ENSSCUG00000017335.1)". The record is from RNAcentral. Lineage: Eukaryota; Metazoa; Chordata; Aves; Struthioniformes; Struthionidae.